This 399-nucleotide RNase P RNA is filed under the name Deltaproteobacteria bacterium. RNAcentral describes it as "RNase P RNA component class A". It matches the Rfam family "Bacterial RNase P class A". Rfam says of the family: Ribonuclease P (RNase P) is a ubiquitous endoribonuclease, found in archaea, bacteria and eukarya as well as chloroplasts and mitochondria. RNAcentral also lists the same sequence under 1 other name. Lineage: Bacteria; Pseudomonadati; Myxococcota; Myxococcia. The record is from RNAcentral.
CGGAGCGGCUCGGGUGCUCGCCGGCGUGGCCAGCGUGUUCUGCACGAGGGUCCCGCGGGAGGAAAGUCCGAGCUCCGCAGGGCAGGAUGCCAGGUAACGCCUGGUGGGGGUGACCCCGAGGACAGUGCCACAGAGAGAAGACCGCCACGACGCCUUCGGGCCUCGGGGUAAGGGUGAAAGGGUGCGGUAAGAGCGCACCGGGCCGGCGGUAACGUCGGUCGCGAGGUAAACCCCAUUCGGAGCAAGACCAAAUAGGGAAGCGACUGAGGGCGGCCCGCCUGAUGCUUCCGGGUAGAGUCGCUCGAGGCGUGCGGUGACGCACGUCCUAGACGAAUGACCACCACCCACGCGCCGGCGACGGACGUGGGAACAAAACUCGGCUUAUGAGCUCUCCGACCG